RNAcentral lists this ribosomal RNA (253 nucleotides) under uncultured bacterium. RNAcentral describes it as "partial 16S ribosomal RNA". It matches the Rfam family "Bacterial small subunit ribosomal RNA", at positions 524 to 776 of the family's 1533-position model. The record is from RNAcentral.
UACAGAGGUCCCAAGCGUUGUUCGGAUUCAUUGGGCGUAAAGGGUGCGUAGGCGGCGCGGUAAGUCGGGUGUGAAAUCUCGGAGCUUAACUCCGAAACUGCAUUCGAUACUGCCGUGCUUGAGGACUGGAGAGGAGACUGGAAUUUACGGUGUAGCGGUGAAAUGCGUAGAUAUCGUAAGGAAGACCAGUGGCGAAGGCGGGUCUCUGGACAGUUCCUGACGCUGAGGCACGAAGGCCAGGGGAGCGAAUGGG